This 373-nucleotide ribosomal RNA is filed under the name uncultured organism. Its description in RNAcentral is "bacterial SSU rRNA". It matches the Rfam family "Bacterial small subunit ribosomal RNA", at positions 526 to 896 of the family's 1533-position model. The record is from RNAcentral.
CAGAGGGUGCGAGCGUUGUUCGGAAUUACUGGGCGUAAAGCGCGCGCAGGCGGCCCUUUAAGUCUGUCGGUCAAAUGCCGGGGCUCAACCCCGGGCGUGCCGAGGAUACUGGAGGGCUGGAGACACGUAGAGGCAAGCGGAGUUCCGGGUGUAGCGGUGGAAUGCGUAGAGAUCCGGAAGAACACCGGAGGCGAAGGCGGCUUGCUGGGCGUGAUCUGACGCUGAGGCGCGAAAGCGUGGGGAGCGAACAGGAUUAGAUACCCUGGUAGUCCACGCCGUAAACGAUGGGCACUAGACGCUGGUGGGAUCGACCCCUUCGGUGCCGCAGCUAACGCGAUAAGUGCCCCGCCUGGGGAGUACGGCCGCAAGGCUG